UACGGGAGGCAGCAGUGGGGAAUAUUGCACAAUGGGCGAAAGCCUGAUGCAGCUAUGCCGCGUGUAUGAAGAAGGCCUUAGGGUUGUAAAGUACUUUCAUCGGGGAGGAAAAAACAAAACUAAUAAUUUUAUUUCUUGACGUUACCCGAAAAAGAAGCACCGGCUAACUCCGUGCCAGCAGCCGCGGUAAUACGGAGGGUGCUAGCGUUAAUCAGAAUUACUGGGCGUAAAGAGCACGUAGGUGGUUUUUUAAAGUCAGAUGUGAAAUCCCUGGGCUUUAACCUAGGAACUGCAUUUUGAAACUGAAAUACUAGAGUAUCGUAGAGGGAGGUAGAAUUCUAGGUGUAGCGGUGAAAUGCGUAGAUAUCUGGAGGAAUACCUGUGGCGAAAGCGGCCUCCUAAACGAAUACUGACACUGAGGGUGCGAAAGCGUGGGGAGCAAACAGGGAUUAGAUACC
RNAcentral lists this ribosomal RNA (458 nucleotides) under uncultured bacterium. Its description in RNAcentral is "bacterial SSU rRNA". It matches the Rfam family "Bacterial small subunit ribosomal RNA", at positions 340 to 786 of the family's 1533-position model. The record is from RNAcentral.